Molecule: transfer RNA, 65 nt
Filed under: Dipodomys ordii (Ord's kangaroo rat)
Lineage: Eukaryota; Metazoa; Chordata; Mammalia; Rodentia; Heteromyidae
Rfam family: tRNA
About the family: Transfer RNA (tRNA) molecules are approximately 80 nucleotides in length. Their secondary structure includes four short double-helical elements and three loops (D, anti-codon, and T loops). Further hydrogen bonds mediate the characteristic L-shaped molecular structure. tRNAs have two regions of fundamental functional importance: the anti-codon, which is responsible for specific mRNA codon recognition, and the 3' end, to which the tRNAs corresponding amino acid is attached (by aminoacyl-tRNA synthetases). tRNAs cope with the degeneracy of the genetic code in two manners: having more than one tRNA (with a specific anti-codon) for a particular amino acid; and 'wobble' base-pairing, i.e. permitting non-standard base-pairing at the 3rd anti-codon position.
Source: Rfam by way of RNAcentral
GGUGACUCAGUGGUAGAGUGCUUGCCUCAUAUGCAUGAGGCCAUGAGUUUGAUUUCUCAGCACCA